This 253-nucleotide ribosomal RNA is filed under the name uncultured bacterium. Its description in RNAcentral is "partial 16S ribosomal RNA". It matches the Rfam family "Bacterial small subunit ribosomal RNA", at positions 524 to 776 of the family's 1533-position model. The record is from RNAcentral.
UACGGAGGGUGCAAGCGUUAUCCGGAUUCACUGGGUUUAAAGGGUGCGUAGGCGGGCAGGUAAGUCAGUGGUGAAAUCUUUGGGCUUAACCCGAAAACUGCCAUUGAUACUAUCUGUCUUGAAUAUUGUGGAGGUGAGCGGAAUAUGUCAUGUAGCGGUGAAAUGCUUAGAUAUGACAUAGAGCACCCAUUGCGAAGGCAGCUCACUACGCAUAUAUUGACGCUGAUGCACGAAAGCGUGGGGAUCAAACAGG